Molecule: ribosomal RNA, 1057 nt
Filed under: Frondihabitans sp.
Lineage: Bacteria; Bacillati; Actinomycetota; Actinomycetes; Micrococcales; Microbacteriaceae
Description: bacterial SSU rRNA
Rfam family: Bacterial small subunit ribosomal RNA
Source: RNAcentral
ACGUGAGUAACCUGCCCUUGACUCUGGGAUAAGCGUUGGAAACGACGUCUAAUACCGGAUAUGACCUGUGACGGCUUCGUCUGCAGGUGGAAAGAAUUUUGGUCAAGGAUGGACUCGCGGCCUAUCAGGUAGUUGGUGAGGUAAUGGCUCACCAAGCCGACGACGGGUAGCCGGCCUGAGAGGGUGACCGGCCACACUGGGACUGAGACACGGCCCAGACUCCUACGGGAGGCAGCAGUGGGGAAUAUUGCACAAUGGGCGAAAGCCUGAUGCAGCAACGCCGCGUGAGGGACGACGGCCUUCGGGUUGUAAACCUCUUUUAGUUGGGAAGAAGGGAGCUUGCUCUUGACGGUACUAGCAGAAAAAGCACCGGCUAACUACGUGCCAGCAGCCGCGGUAAUACGUAGGGUGCAAGCGUUGUCCGGAAUUAUUGGGCGUAAAGAGCUCGUAGGCGGUUUGUCGCGUCUGCUGUGAAAUCUGGGGGCUCAACCCCCAGCCUGCAGUGGGUACGGGCAGACUAGAGUGCGGUAGGGGAGAUUGGAAUUCCUGGUGUAGCGGUGGAAUGCGCAGAUAUCAGGAGGAACACCGAUGGCGAAGGCAGAUCUCUGGGCCGUUACUGACGCUAAGGAGCGAAAGCAUGGGGAGCGAACAGGAUUAGAUACCCUGGUAGUCCAUGCCGUAAACGUUGGGAACUAGAUGUAGGGGCCAUUCCACGGUUUCUGUGUCGCAGCUUACGCAUUAAGUUCCCCGCCUGGGGAGUACGGCCGCAAGGCUAAAACUCAAAGGAAUUGACGGGGGCCCGCACAAGCGGCGGAGCAUGCGGAUUAAUUCGAUGCAACGCGAAGAACCUUACCAAGGCUUGACAUAUACCGGAAACGUCCAGAGAUGGUCGCCCCGCAGGGUCGGUAUACAGGUGGUGCAUGGUUGUCGUCAGCUCGUGUCGUGAGAUGUUGGGUUAAGUCCCGCAACGAGCGCAACCCUCGUUCUAUGUUGCCAGCACGUUAUGGUGGGAACUCAUAGGAGACUGCCGGGGUCACUCGGAGGAAGGGGGGGAUGA